GCUCCUCUCGGGAGUGUUAUAGCCCUCGGUGCAAUGCAGCCUACCCGGACCGAGGACCGCGCUUCGGCUAGGAUGCUGGCGUAAUGGUUGUAAGCGACCCGUCUUGAAACACGGACCAAGGAGUCUAACAUCUAUGCGAGUGUUUGGGUGUCAAACCCAUACGCGUAAUUAACGUGAACGGAGGUAAGAACCCUUAAGGGUGCAUUAUCGACCGAUCCUGAUGUCUUCGGAUGGAUUUGAGUAAGAGCAUAGCUGUUGGGACCCGAAAGAUGGUGAACUAUGCCUGAAUAGGGUGAAGCCAGAGGAAACUCUGGUGGAGGCUCGCAGCGGUUCUGACGUGCAAAUCGAUCGUCAAAUUUGGGUAUAGGGGCGAAAGACUAAUCGAACCAUUAACUACUAGGUGGUUAAUAGGGACCUGAGAGGGUCUCCUAGUCCUGGUCAAGGGCAACAUCAUCAAACUGCGGGGAAGUCCCGUCAAAUUCUCAAGC
Molecule: ribosomal RNA, 488 nt
Filed under: Microscypha sp.
Lineage: Eukaryota; Fungi; Ascomycota; Leotiomycetes; Helotiales; Hamatocanthoscyphaceae
Description: partial large subunit ribosomal RNA
Rfam family: Eukaryotic large subunit ribosomal RNA
Source: RNAcentral